ACUCCUACGGGAGGCAGCAGUGAGGAAUAUUGGUCAAUGGAGGGAACUCUGAACCAGCCAUCCCGCGUGUAGGAAGACGGCCUUAUGGGUUGUAAACUACUUUUAUACNGGAACGAAACGUACCCUCGUGAGGUGCCUGACGUACUGUAGGAAUAAGCACCGGCUAACUCCGUGCCAGCAGCCGCGGUAAUACGGAGGGUGCGAGCGUUAUCCGGAUUUAUUGGGUUUAAAGGGUCCGUAGGCGGAUUAAUAAGUCAGUGGU
RNAcentral lists this ribosomal RNA (262 nucleotides) under uncultured bacterium. Its description in RNAcentral is "partial 16S ribosomal RNA". It matches the Rfam family "Bacterial small subunit ribosomal RNA", at positions 335 to 595 of the family's 1533-position model. The record is from RNAcentral.